UUGAAACAAGAAAACACACGAAGAUAGGCUGCGGGACAAGAAAAGAAAGCGAGCGCAACCUCCAUUUCCGAUCAUUUUCCAUCAAUCUUGCUGAGUUCUUUCAAGUAAAGAACAAGUUUCGGGAAUGAGUAUAAUUUUUUU
Molecule: non-coding RNA, 141 nt
Organism: Caenorhabditis elegans
Lineage: Eukaryota; Metazoa; Nematoda; Chromadorea; Rhabditida; Rhabditidae
Source: Ensembl